RNAcentral lists this ribosomal RNA (505 nucleotides) under Yamadazyma lessepsii. Its description in RNAcentral is "eukaryotic LSU rRNA". It matches the Rfam family "Eukaryotic large subunit ribosomal RNA", at positions 98 to 646 of the family's 3401-position model. The record is from RNAcentral. Lineage: Eukaryota; Fungi; Ascomycota; Pichiomycetes; Serinales; Debaryomycetaceae.
UAUCAAUAAGCGGAGCAAUCUGGCGUCUUCCGCGUCCGAGUUGUAAUUUGAAGAAGGUAUCUUUGGUUUUGGCUCUUGUCUAUGUUCCUUGGAACAGGACGUCACAGAGGGUGAGAAUCCCGUGCGAUGAGAUGCCCAAUUCCAUGUAAAGUUCCUUCGACGAGUCGAGUUGUUUGGGAAUGCAGCUCUAAGUGGGUGGUAAAUUCCAUCUAAAGCUAAAUAUUGGCGAGAGACCGAUAGCGAACAAGUACUGUGAAGGAAAGAUGAAAAGAACUUUGAAAAGAGAGUGAAAAAGUACGUGAAAUUGUUGAAAGGGAAGGGCUUGAGAUCAGACUUGGAAUUUUCCAGCAAUGGAGCUUUCCGGGCCAGCAUCAGUUUGGAUGGCAGGAUAAUUGCGUAGGAAAGUGGCACCACCUCGGUGGUGUGUUAUAGCCUGCGUCGAUACUGCCUAUCUAGACUGAGGACUGCGUCUUUGACUAGGAUGCUGGCAUAAUGAUCUUAAGCC